Molecule: long non-coding RNA, 4282 nt
Organism: Rosa chinensis
Lineage: Eukaryota; Viridiplantae; Streptophyta; Magnoliopsida; Rosales; Rosaceae
Exons: 3
Source: RefSeq, a predicted model, not a curated record
AGUGUGGGUAACGGUAACGGUGCCGUGUAAUUCGGGUGGGGUUUUAAAAUUUGAAAAUUGGGUGAGUGGGUUACAGCUCAUCGUGACCGGUCGGUGGGAUUUGAAAUUUGAAUCUGGGUGGGGAAGCGGGAGAAAGGUUUUGGGUUUAUUGGACUGGGCUGACUAUCAUACUAGGCCCAACGUCAUUAUCUUUAACGGGUAUGAAUAAUACAAACAGGAGCUACCAAGAAAGAUGUAGGACCUGCACACUCUUCAGUACACCACGAUAUGCUAGCAAAAAGGGUCAGUCCAACAAUGAAGACUGAAACCGACAAAGGGCCAACAGUGUUGUCGGCAUACCAACUAGCCAACUAGGUCAUGGCUCUCCCCGUGAAGGGUAUACAUGUGCUCGAGUCAACUCCGCUUCCUAAGGAAUGAAUACACGCACUAGAUUUAUAACUUCCUUUACACGCAAAUACUAUAAACCCUAAUUUGCCCAAAAGAAUGACCUUACUGUUUAUGUGGAUGUUAACUAUGUUAGCUUAUAUUUGGGGAAUGUUUUUGGGUUCUGUUUUCCUUUUAUUUUGUGUUGAUUUGCUUGAGGAGCUGGGAGGAUGCUUGUUCGGAAUUUUAGCAUAUGUUGCCCUUAUUGAAGUAUUGGAUGAAAGGAAGCUCUCCAGAAUUGAGGUAAUUACAAAAACUGUGUUUUUUUCUGUUUGAUUUUGAAGUAGUGACCAAUGAAAUUGUUUGGGCUUGCAUAUAUAAGCUUAAGGAGGAAGAACUGUAUAAUCAUACUUUUUCUCAGCUUUGGAGUGUUAGUUCAAUUUGCAAUAACAGAAUAGCCCAUAAGAUUUGAUGAUCAUUAUGAUACCAUUGAUAGGGACAUAGGGUUACAAGGCAAUGUCCUAUUGAAUUUACGCAGAGUCUUAAACUUUUAGUAGUUAAACAUGUGCACUGUGCACUGUGUGAUGUUAACUGUCAUGAUCUUGCUGAUAGGGUUAUGAGGGUGCGAGUCCUUUGAACUUACAGAAUGGAGUUUAUCCCUUCUACUAGAUCAUCAAUUGAGAGUUUCCAGGAAGUGAGAUUUGAUAGUUUGGAAGAAACUGCUAUUAAACAGAACCCAUCAUCUGCUAUUUUUGAGGAGGAUUUUGCCAAAGGUGGUAUUGAUCAACUGAUGAGUCCUUUACCUUGCACAAAUGCACACACUAUUAUCAUGUAGAUUGCAUUAUCCAGUGGGUGGGGAUAAGUCACAUGUGUUCGUUAUAUUGAUAGGCAAUGCCAAGUGAGGAAGUGGCCAAGCCUUCCAUCCCUAACGGAUGUUAGAUUAUACAUGCAUCUCAAUUAGUCAUGAAAUAUGUGUCAAUUGAUCUCUGCGUAUUUACUAUUUUGUAGAUUAAUUCUAGAAGUGAAUAUACUUAUCCAAUUAUAUAUCCUCUAUCAAUAUAUGAUAUAUGGAGUGAAUUUGAGGCCCUGCCUAAACCUUUUAGGAGGGGAACACUGGCAUUGGCAUCAUCCUUGUAGUCCCAAUGCCUAAACCUGCAGUUGGCUCGGUCUGGAUCAACCUCAUGCCAAUGUCAGAAUGUCUGAUAUGUGUUGUCUAUAUAUCUUCUGAGUUCUGCAGACUCACAAUCUGUUGUAGGGAGCUGGAAAAGGUAUGGUGCCUUUUCAAAUGUUAUUGCUCUCUAGAUAUUGUAUAAAAUUAAUAUAGAAGCAUGCUCACAGCAGCAACAGGAAAAAUUUGGUUCUGUUUUCUUGUCCUUCUAAAAUUAAAUUAAAUCUAUUUUCAUAUUUAAUACGCAUAACAAGCAUGCAUCCCGUACUGUUUUGGGAAGAAGAUAAAUUGAGUAGUUAUAAUGGAGAGAAAUAGAAGAAAAGGAACAAGAUGAGAAUUGAUCCAGUGUUUUGACCAACGUGAGAAAUCAGCUUGCUUUCAUAAUGAACAUGAAGAAAACCAAAUUGUCUAUUCAUUUCAAACUUCUCCUUAAGUACUGUGACCUCUUAGUUUCUCAUGAACAUGGAGUGCAGCUACUCGUGUACCUAUGCAAGGGGAGCUAAUUGGACAUUCACUACUUUAAGUCCUUGUAUGCAUUAAUAAUGUUCUAUUCAUUACGAACUUAAGGUUUUUGCAGGCAGUGUGGAUUAAAGGAGAUGCUUUGGUUGAAUGGAAAGACGGUUCAAAAUCAUUGUUGGAAUCUUGGAAUUGCUAGAGGACUACUGUAUCUGCAUAAAAAUUCUCAGCUUAGGCAGUGGACUACUUUAUUGAGAUUUCAAAGCCAGCUCUUGUGGAUUCAGGGAGCCACCACCAACAACUUAGCAAUGGGUUGUAGGUGGUUUGAAAAGGUAUGGUGCUUUUAUUGUUGCUCGCUACAUAUUCUAUAAAUUUAUAUAGAAGCAUGUGAUAGCAGUAACAGGCCAGGGAAGAUUCGUUGCUGUUGUUUUCUCCUUCUAAAAUUAGAUUAAAUCUAUUUCCAAAUUUAAUGUCUUAUAUAUAAGCCACUCUUUUGGGGAUAACUAGAUCAUCUAAAAAAUAUGCACUGAAUGAGAAAUUUAGUUUUUAUCAGUAUAAACCAGGCAUAGCUUGUUCUGUCAUGAAUUGGCCAUCAUAUGCAAAUAUCUUCAUCUGAUAUUUAAUCCAGCCAAUGUUGGAAUUAUAAAACCAUCAGACAUUGCAGGAGUUGUCUCCAAGCAGAAAGCCAAGAGAUAAGCAGCAGAUGCCCUCAUAAGAACGGAGCUAUAGUCUGGUACGAAGUGUGCCUCUUAAAAUACUCUACUUUAAACAGACACAAAUAAUGGGAUUUAUGUAACAAGUCCUGUAUUCAUUGAUACAUCCAUUGUUGUUUGAAGAAAGAGUUCAUAAGUUGUUAACCGAAUUAUGUAAUAAAGCUUCUAGAACAAUAUUGAAGUUUGCUGAUGGCAAGCUACAUCUUCACGUAGGUAAUAAGGAUUUAGAUGUUUUUGGUGCAGCUCAAUGCACUACUGACCUCUCUAGUGACUCCUGUAAGAAAUGCUUUGAAGUAGCAAUGAGAGAACUUCCUGAAGACCAUGGAUGGAUUGGCACAGCUGUAUAACAGUUAGGAAACUUUUACAAUGGAGGAGAUUGGUGAAUGAUGAUGAGGAAAUGCCUGUGUAAAUGCCAAUGAAGGUGAGCAGUCAGAUGUGAAGAACAAAAAGAAGAAACGUCUAGCUGAGGAUCAUUGAGGUGCACAAUGAGGUUCAAAAUGUUGAUCAUAAUGGAGAGAAAAAGAAGAAAAGGAAGAAGAUGAGGAUUGAUCCAGUGUUUUGACCAACGUAGGCAAUCAGCUUGCAAUGUGUUGAAGGGGGUUGGAAAAGGGAGUUUGGGUUUACCUUCUGCACAGGGGGAUUUGGUAUAUGGUAUGGCACAAUGUUGGAAUUAUAUCACCGUCGAACAUUGCAAGAGUUGUAUAAAAGCAGCAAGCAAAGAGAUAAGAAGCAGACGCCCUCACAAACAAGGCGCUAAAGUGUGGUAUGAAGCUUUGUAAAGUACUCUACUGUGCCUUUCUUGGAUUUAAGAGAGCCGACCAAUGGGAUUUAUGUGUCAAGUCCCGUAAUCUUUGAUGUGGAUCCCUUUGUUGUUACACAAAACUGUACAUAAGUUGUUAACUGAGUUAUGUAUUAUUGCUUCUAGAAGUAAAAACAGGUUGGCUGAUGUCAAGGUACACCUUCAGGAUUUUUUGGUCUGAUUCAAUGUACUACUGAUCUAUGAAAUGACUUUUGUAAGCAGUGUAUUGACGAAGCAAUGAAAGAACUUCCAGAAGGAUUGUGGGCAUGUCAAUUUUGGGAGUUGUUAUAUUAGUUUUGAAAACACUGCAGGGCAGGGGAGGUUUGCUUAUAUAGACCUGCAUGUUAGCAAUUUUAUCCAUCACUGAAUCUAGCCUUUUCACAUUGCUGCCUUUUCUAGCUUAGAUAAUGAAACUUAAUAUCACUAAAAUGUGCUCCCCUUUUACUCUUUAUUUCAUGCAUUCUUCAAAUUUACUACUCCAGAAAAGCUCGAGUUGAUCAGUACUCUAGCUACAAGUAUUAAAACAUAGUACAUGCAGUUACACUUCAUUCUGGGAAGUGUCUAAGCGAAAAAUAAACCUUAUUCUCACUGAUCCAUUGUUUUUGAAGCAUCGAUCUCUCAAGGAUUGCUGCAUCAUUGAAUACGGGUCAGCUAAACUCGUCGUGGUAUAUGACAUUUCUCAAUGCAGGGAGAUCUCAAUAAAAAUGAUUGCCAAACUUGUGCAUCAGGCAACUAUGUUCAAUCUAUUGCAGUCAUAUAUAUACAAUAUUGCAUGUCUUGUAA